UACGAAGGGGGCUAGCGUUGUUCGGAAUUACUGGGCGUAAAGCGUUUGUAGGCGGUUAUACAAGUCAGUGGUGAAAGCCCAGGCUUAACCUUGGAAUUGCCAUUGAAACUGUAUAGCUAGAGAGUGUUAGAGGAAAGUGGAAUUCCUAGUGUAGGAGUGAAAUCCGUAGAGAUUAGGAGGAAUAUCGAUGGCGAAGGCAGCUUUCUGGGACAUUUCUGACGCUGAGAAACGAAAGCGA
This 238-nucleotide ribosomal RNA is filed under the name uncultured bacterium. RNAcentral describes it as "partial 16S ribosomal RNA". It matches the Rfam family "Bacterial small subunit ribosomal RNA", at positions 524 to 762 of the family's 1533-position model. The record is from RNAcentral.